This 107-nucleotide ribosomal RNA is filed under the name uncultured bacterium. RNAcentral describes it as "partial 16S ribosomal RNA". The record is from RNAcentral.
AGGACGAAGACCUUCGGUCGUAAACUCCUUUCGAUCGAGACGAAUUCCCUGGGUGAACAUCCCGGGGUCGACGGUACCGAGAGAAGAAGCCCCGGCUAACUCCGUGC